UACGUAGGGGGCAAGCGUUGUCCGGAUUUAUUGGGCGUAAAGCGCACGCAGGCGGUCUUUUACGUUUUGAGUGACAGGCGAGGGCUUAACCCUGGCAGGCCUUGGAAAACUGGAAGACUUGAGGGCGAGAGAGGGAUGCGGAAUUCCAGGUGGAGCGGUGAAAUGCGUAGAGAUCUGGAAGAACACCGAAGGCGAAGGCAGCAUCCUGGAGCGUUACUGACGCUGAUGUGCGAAAGCUAGGGGAGCGAACGGG
RNAcentral lists this ribosomal RNA (253 nucleotides) under uncultured bacterium. Its description in RNAcentral is "partial 16S ribosomal RNA". It matches the Rfam family "Bacterial small subunit ribosomal RNA", at positions 524 to 776 of the family's 1533-position model. The record is from RNAcentral.